RNAcentral lists this long non-coding RNA (550 nucleotides) under Bos taurus (domestic cattle). RNAcentral's name for it is "long non-coding RNA NONBTAT019425". Lineage: Eukaryota; Metazoa; Chordata; Mammalia; Artiodactyla; Bovidae. The record is from RNAcentral.
AAAAAUAGGAAUGGGGAACACUUCAUGGUUGAUGUUGAGUGCUCUGAACUACGGUCCCAGGCCCCUGGGGAUUUGUUCUUUAUACUUAGCACAAAGUGUGAGAAGCAGAGCUGUACAUGAACAUAAGGCAUAUUGAAUUAUGGUAGCUAACUAAUGUUCAUUAUGGCUUUGUUUUAAGGUAAUGACUGUAUACCAUAAAAUGUCAAUAAAGAUAUUACUGGGAUUUAUUAUAAUAGGCUUUGUUUAAGAUGUUGACUUCAAUUACCAACCACUGGAAACAGUGACAUUAUUAAAGUAAAAGAAAAUUACUUGGUAGUAAUUACUUGGUGCACCACUUUAUACCUCAUUUGGGAAUAUAAUCAUACCAUUUAUUAAAAAGCAAAAACGUCUUUCACCCAGUGCAUGAUUUAAGAGCUAAUAUAAUGUGUAUUUGGCAAAUUUUAAGAUUUCGUCCAUUCAAAACUGAGUCCUUUAUGUAAAGCAUCAUGAGAAGCUCUUUAAAGGGAGUACAUUAAAUUAUCACUCUACAGUGUAUCUAAAUAUAAAUAUC